RNAcentral lists this ribosomal RNA (499 nucleotides) under Pseudomonas aeruginosa. RNAcentral describes it as "bacterial SSU rRNA". It matches the Rfam family "Bacterial small subunit ribosomal RNA", at positions 34 to 525 of the family's 1533-position model. Lineage: Bacteria; Pseudomonadati; Pseudomonadota; Gammaproteobacteria; Pseudomonadales; Pseudomonadaceae. The record is from RNAcentral.
UUCCGCUGGCGGCAGGCCUAACCAUGCAAGUCGAGCGGAUGAAGGGAGCUUGCUCCUGGAUUCAGCGGCGGACGGGUGAGUAAUGCCUAGGAAUCUGCCUGGUAGUGGGGGAUAACGUCCGGAAACGGGCGCUAAUACCGCAUACGUCCUGAGGGAGAAAGUGGGGGAUCUUCGGACCUCACGCUAUCAGAUGAGCCUAGGUCGGAUUAGCUAGUUGGUGGGGUAAAGGCCUACCAAGGCGACGAUCCGUAACUGGUCUGAGAGGAUGAUCAGUCACACUGGAACUGAGACACGGUCCAGACUCCUACGGGAGGCAGCAGUGGGGAAUAUUGGACAAUGGGCGAAAGCCUGAUCCAGCCAUGCCGCGUGUGUGAAGAAGGUCUUCGGAUUGUAAAGCACUUUAAGUUGGGAGGAAGGGCAGUAAGUUAAUACCUUGCUGUUUUGACGUUACCAACAGAAUAAGCACCGGCUAACUUCGUGCCAGCAGCCGCGGUUAAUA